GGGGCUGUAGCUCAGUGGUAGAGCGUCCACCUUGCACGUGUGAGGCUCUGGGUUUGAUCCUCAGCACCA
This 69-nucleotide transfer RNA is filed under the name Ictidomys tridecemlineatus (thirteen-lined ground squirrel). Its description in RNAcentral is "Spermophilus tridecemlineatus (thirteen-lined ground squirrel) tRNA". It matches the Rfam family "tRNA". Rfam says of the family: Transfer RNA (tRNA) molecules are approximately 80 nucleotides in length. Their secondary structure includes four short double-helical elements and three loops (D, anti-codon, and T loops). The record is from Rfam by way of RNAcentral. Lineage: Eukaryota; Metazoa; Chordata; Mammalia; Rodentia; Sciuridae.